RNAcentral lists this ribosomal RNA (292 nucleotides) under uncultured bacterium. RNAcentral's name for it is "partial 16S ribosomal RNA". It matches the Rfam family "Bacterial small subunit ribosomal RNA", at positions 505 to 796 of the family's 1533-position model. The record is from RNAcentral.
GUGUCAGCCGCCGCGGUAAUACAGAGGUCCCGAGCGUUGUUCGGAUUCACUGGGCGUAAAGGGUGCGUAGGUGGCCGGGUAAGUCUGACGUGAAAUCUCCAAGCUCAACUUGGAAACUGCGUCGGAUACUAUCCGGCUCGAGGAUCGGAGGGGAGACUGGAAUACUUGGUGUAGCAGUGAAAUGCGUAGAUAUCAAGUGGAACACCAGUGGCGAAGGCGAGUCUCUGGACGAUUCCUGACACUGAGGCACGAAAGCCAGGGGAGCAAACGGGAUUAGAAACCCUAGUAGUCC